RNAcentral lists this ribosomal RNA (460 nucleotides) under uncultured bacterium. RNAcentral's name for it is "partial 16S ribosomal RNA". It matches the Rfam family "Bacterial small subunit ribosomal RNA", at positions 338 to 795 of the family's 1533-position model. The record is from RNAcentral.
CCUACGGGUGGCAGCAGUGAGGAAUAUUGGUCAAUGGGCGCGAGCCUGAACCAGCCAAGUAGCGUGAAGGAUGACUGCCCUACGGGUUGUAAACUUCUUUUGCCGGGGAGCAGUGGUCCGGACGCGUCCGGACCGGGAGAGUACCCGGAGAAAAAGCAUCGGCUAACUCCGUGCCAGCAGCCGCGGUAAUACGGAGGAUGCGAGCGUUAUCCGGAUAUAUUGGGUUUAAAGGGUGCGUAGGCGGGCAUUUAAGCCGGCGGUCAAAUGUCGGGGCUCAACCCCGGCCUGCCGUCGGAACUGGGUGCCUUGAGUGGGCGAGAAGUAUGCGGAAUGCGUGGUGUAGCGGUGAAAUGCGUAGAUAUUAGGAAGAACACCAGUGGCGAAGGCGGCUUGCUGGACAGUAACUGACGUUGAGGCUCGAAAGCGUGGGGAGCAAACAGGAUUAGAUACCCCUGUAGUC